GAUGAACGCUGACGGCGUGUCUAACACAUGCAAGCCAGGGGUUUCGGCCCCGGCGCACGGGUGAGUAACGCGUAGAUAAUCUGCCCAUAUCUCUGUGAUAACAUCGGGAAACUGUAAUAAGCACAGAUGAGGACUUCGGUUCAAAUGCAAAGGAUAUGGAUGAGUCUGCGUAUGAUUAGAUAGUUGGUAGGGUAAUCCGGCCUACCAAGUCAACGAUCAUUAGCGGGUUUGAGAGGACGAUCCGCCACACUGGAACUGAGACACGGUCCAG
RNAcentral lists this ribosomal RNA (271 nucleotides) under uncultured bacterium. Its description in RNAcentral is "partial 16S ribosomal RNA". It matches the Rfam family "Bacterial small subunit ribosomal RNA", at positions 28 to 334 of the family's 1533-position model. The record is from RNAcentral.